This 77-nucleotide transfer RNA is filed under the name Magnetococcus marinus MC-1. RNAcentral's name for it is "tRNA-Asp (GTC) (tRNA-Asp-GTC-1-1)". It matches the Rfam family "tRNA". Rfam says of the family: Transfer RNA (tRNA) molecules are approximately 80 nucleotides in length. Their secondary structure includes four short double-helical elements and three loops (D, anti-codon, and T loops). Further hydrogen bonds mediate the characteristic L-shaped molecular structure. tRNAs have two regions of fundamental functional importance: the anti-codon, which is responsible for specific mRNA codon recognition, and the 3' end, to which the tRNAs corresponding amino acid is attached (by aminoacyl-tRNA synthetases). tRNAs cope with the degeneracy of the genetic code in two manners: having more than one tRNA (with a specific anti-codon) for a particular amino acid; and 'wobble' base-pairing, i.e. permitting non-standard base-pairing at the 3rd anti-codon position. RNAcentral also lists the same sequence under 1 other name. The record is from RNAcentral. Lineage: Bacteria; Pseudomonadati; Pseudomonadota; Magnetococcia; Magnetococcales; Magnetococcaceae.
GGGGGCGUAGUUCAGUUGGUUAGAAUGCCGGCCUGUCACGCCGGAGGUCGCGGGUUCAAGUCCCGUCGCUCCCGCCA